CCUACGGGGGGCAGCAGUGGGGGAUAUUGCACAAUGGGGGGAACCCUGAUGCAGCGACGCCGCGUGAGCGAAGAAGUACCUCGGUAUGUUAAGCUCUAUCUGCAGGGAAGAAAAUGACGGUACCUGACUAAGAAGCCCCGGCUAAAUACGUGCCAGCAGCCGCGGUAAUACGGAGGGUGCAAGCGUUAUCCGGAUUUACUGGGUGUAAUGGGAGCGCAGGCGGCUUGCCAAGUCUGGUGUGAAAACCCGGGGCCCAACCCCGAGCCUGCAUUGGAAACUGGCGGGCUGGAGUGUCGGAGAGGCAGGCGGAAUUCGUGGUGUAGCGGUGAAAUGCGUAGAUAUUAGGAGGAACACCGGUGGCGAAGGCGGCCUGCUAGACGGUGACUGACACUGAGGCUCGAAAGCGUGGGGAGCAAACAGGAUUAGAUACCCCGGUAGUC
RNAcentral lists this ribosomal RNA (440 nucleotides) under uncultured bacterium. RNAcentral's name for it is "partial 16S ribosomal RNA". It matches the Rfam family "Bacterial small subunit ribosomal RNA", at positions 338 to 795 of the family's 1533-position model. The record is from RNAcentral.